UAAAGAACAUGUUCCAUUGAAGAUGGGGGAUAAUUGCUGGGAUAUAGCAACAAGCCUACAGUAGGCAAAGUUUGAUUCUAUGAAGCAUCAAAUCCUAGUCCUUAAAUAACAUAAUCUAAAAAAAGAUGCUGUCAACAAAGUCUUCAGUAGAAUAUGAAAGCCUUGAGUUUCAAGCAGGCCUUGACUUUUCCCAGCUUCUCCUUUGGUUUAUUGUCAGUGUCGUGCUUCGUUCUUUACUAGUUUACAUAACAUCUAGCUCACAACAGAAAAUUUUUCUCUCUCCCUCAGUUUCUUUUGCAUAAAAUUCACCAUUAUUGCUUUAGAAUCUGGAUGUUGUCCAUGAACAUAGACUGAUGGAGAAGAAUGCUCGACAAAUAUGUUCUUAGGCAAGGAAUUACCUAUGGAGCUUAUGCCCUCCAACUUAGUAGUGAUUCUGAAACAUGAAAAGGAUGGAAGGAAAAGGACAUGACAGAGUAGUUUAAGGCUCUCAGUUGACCACGAGCGAAGAGAAGAUCAACUAACGAGACUUUGAAGAUCACUUAAUUUUGACACCAAAAGAUAAAUUGA
RNAcentral lists this long non-coding RNA (567 nucleotides) under Phoenix dactylifera (date palm). RNAcentral's name for it is "long non-coding RNA (PDAC_LNC000634)". Lineage: Eukaryota; Viridiplantae; Streptophyta; Magnoliopsida; Arecales; Arecaceae. The record is from RNAcentral.